This 293-nucleotide ribosomal RNA is filed under the name uncultured Sphingobacteriales bacterium. RNAcentral describes it as "partial 16S ribosomal RNA". It matches the Rfam family "Bacterial small subunit ribosomal RNA", at positions 1088 to 1382 of the family's 1533-position model. Lineage: Bacteria; Pseudomonadati; Bacteroidota; Sphingobacteriia; Sphingobacteriales. The record is from RNAcentral.
ACUAACGAGCGCAACCCCUACCUUAGUUGCCAUCAGGUUAAGCUGGGGACUCUAAGGAACUGCCUACGCAAGUAGUGAGGAAGGCGGGGAUGACGUCAAAUCAGCACGGCCCUUACGUCCAGGGCUACACACGUGCUACAAUGGCCGAUACAGAGGGCAGCUACCUGGUGACAGGAUGCAAAUCUCCAAAGUCGGUCUCAGUUCGGGUCGGAGUCUGCAACCCGACUCCGUGAAGUUGGAUUCGCUAGUAAUCGCGCAUCAGCCAUGGCGCGGUGAAUACGUUCCCGGGCCUU